AGGACGAACGCUGGCGGCGUGCUUAACACAUGCAAGUCACGGGGGUCCCGCAAGGGAUAACCGGCGAACGGGUGCGUAACACGUGAGCGACCUGCCUCUCCGCGGGGAUAGCCGGCCCAACGGCCGGGUAAUACCGCAUACGUUCAGUUUGGGCAUCCCGAACUGAGGAAACCUCCGGGGCGGAGAGAGGGGCUCGCGGCCUAUCAGCUAGUUGGCGGGGUAAUGGCCCACCAAGGCGGCGACGGGUAGCU
This 251-nucleotide ribosomal RNA is filed under the name uncultured bacterium. Its description in RNAcentral is "partial small subunit ribosomal RNA". It matches the Rfam family "Bacterial small subunit ribosomal RNA", at positions 26 to 288 of the family's 1533-position model. The record is from RNAcentral.